Long non-coding RNA from Cuculus canorus (common cuckoo), 875 nucleotides. RefSeq lists it as uncharacterized. Lineage: Eukaryota; Metazoa; Chordata; Aves; Cuculiformes; Cuculidae. The transcript has 3 exons. The record is from RefSeq and is a predicted model, not a curated record.
GGAGCAGGCACACACUCAACAGAGGAGUACAUAGAAAGGUUUCUACUUCUGAGAAGUUUUUGGAGUUUAGCAGUGUUGUCAGGCUCAGGAUCUUAAACCACAUCUAUCAGAUCCCUAAGUAGUAGAAAGGCUCAAUUAUGAUGCAGAUUUUUUCGAGCUACAGCAUCAAGUAGAAAUCAGCUUGAUUCUUUAUCAGAUGAAAUGGACUCCUGCAGCACUAUGUGCUUCAGGGAUUGAUUCCGAAAAGAGAGAAGAUACGGAUGCCAAAGACCCUGCUAACCUGGAGCCAGAUCCACUAUGGCCCUUGGGUACUGCAAUGUCCAGUGCUUCAAUGCCUUGCCUAUAGGAGCCUGGGCCUCGGAGAAGAAAGCACAGUGCUGAGUUCGGAGUUCAAUCUCCUUCCAACAGGAGCAGAGCUGAAGUGUUCAGACCCACAUCUCCCCACUACACCCCAUGGAAAGACUUUGCUUUGCCCUGUGAAGCUGCCCUGCUUUUCAGCAAAGACUAAAAGCUUGAAGGGGACAACAACAGAGGGCAUACAAGAAUGUGCAUUGCUGUAGUCCAAAGAUUAUGGGAUUCACACAGGAAGGAAGAAAACUGAUUUAAUCCCUGCUUCAAGGGCUGCUUAUGCAGAUGAAUGCAAAACAGGCAAGCUGCCUGUGGAACAAGGACUGCUAUAUGGAUUCAAAACUUCUGAAGACAAGUGGCUUCAUGCAGAUCUUUGUGAAAUAAGAUUAACUGGCACGAGACAGUGUGGUCUAAGUACGAUGCUGACUGGCCAGACUGAGGUUAGGCAAACAUAUCCCUCUUUCUCACCAAUCAGAAAAGGUCUCCACAUUGAUUUAAACAGACCUGAGGGUCUUCGCCCACCACAG